ACAGUGGACGCGAGCAUCUUUGUUGUAAGUGUUUAAGAGCGUACGGUGGAUGCCUUGGCACCAGGAGCCGAUGAAGGACGUAGGAGGCUGCGAUAAGCCUCGGGGAGCUGUCAACCGAGCUGAGAUCCGAGGAUGUCCGAAUGGGGAAACCCAGCCACAGUGAUGUGUGGUUACCCGCGCCUGAAUAUAUAGGGCGUGUGGAGGGAACGUGGGGAAGUGAAACAUCUCAGUACCCACAGGAAGAGAAAACAACAUGUGAUUCCGUGAGUAGUGGCGAGCGAAAGCGGAAGAGGCUAAACCAUGGGUGUGUGAUAGCCGGCGGGCGUUGCAUUCGUGGGGUUGUGGGAUCCGUCUUGUCAAUUCUGCCGGAUUGGCCGACAGUGAGAAAUUAUCGUGUUAGUCGAAGUGGUCUGGAACGGCCUGUCGUAGAGGGUGAGAGUCCCGUAGACGAAAACAUGGUGACUGUCGUGACGGACACCCGAGUAGCAGCGGCCCGUGAAAUCUGCUGUGAAUCUGUCGGGACCACCCGAUAAGCCUGAAUACUCCCUGGUGACCGAUAGCGGACUAGUACCGUGAGGGAAAGGUGAAAAGUACCCCGGGAGGGGUGAAAUAGUACCUGAACCGUGCGCUUACAAUCCGUCAGAGCCUGCGCACUUUUGGUGGGUGGGUGAUGGCGUGCCUUUUGAAGAAUGAGCCUGCGAGUUAGCGCCAUGUCGCGAGGUUAACCCGUGUGGGGUAGCCGUAGCGAAAGCGAGUCCGAAUAGGGCGUU
This 770-nucleotide ribosomal RNA is filed under the name Rhodococcus (subgen. Prescottella) equi. Its description in RNAcentral is "Rhodococcus hoagii partial 23S ribosomal RNA". It matches the Rfam family "Bacterial large subunit ribosomal RNA", at positions 1 to 696 of the family's 2925-position model. The record is from RNAcentral. Lineage: Bacteria; Bacillati; Actinomycetota; Actinomycetes; Mycobacteriales; Nocardiaceae.